RNAcentral lists this ribosomal RNA (307 nucleotides) under Nakaseomyces glabratus. RNAcentral's name for it is "[Candida] glabrata partial small subunit ribosomal RNA". The record is from RNAcentral. Lineage: Eukaryota; Fungi; Ascomycota; Saccharomycetes; Saccharomycetales; Saccharomycetaceae.
UUAAACGCUAAAUAAGGACAUGACACAUGCAAAUCAAACAUUUAUUAUUGAUAAAAUAAUAAAUAUGUGGUGUAAACGUGAGUAAUAAUAUAAGAAUUAAUGAACUAUAAAAUAGAUUAAAUAUCUAAUAAAUAUAUAUAUAUAAUAUAUAUAUAUAUAUUAAAUAAAUAUUUAUUUAAAGUAUAAUAUUUGUUUAUAGUCAAGCUUAUAAUAGUUUAGGUAGUAGGUUAAUUAAUAGUUUAUAACCUAGCCAACGAUCUAUAGUUAAUAAUGAAAGUUAUAAUAACCACGUUGACUUUGAAAUAUA